GAUGAACGCUGGCGGCGUGCCUAACACAUGCAAGUCGAACGGGGUGAAGCCCCUUCGGGACUUCACUUAGUGGCGAACGGGUGAGUAACGCGUGAGGAACCUGCCUUUCAGUGGGGGACAACAGUUGGAAACGACUGCUAAUACCGCAUAAGCGCACAGGACCGCAUGGUCUGGUGUGAAAAACUCUGGUGGUAUAAGAUGGACCCGCGUCUGAUUAGCUUGUUGGUGGGGUAACGCCUACCAAGGCGACGAUCAGUAGCCGACCUGAGAGGGUGACCGGCCACAUUGGGACUGAGACACGGGCCCAAACUCCUACGGGAGGCAGCAGUGGGGAAUAUUGCACAAUGGGCGAAAGCCUGAUGCAGCGACGCCGCGUGAGCGAAGAAGUAUUCGGUAUGUAAAGCUCUAUCAGCAGGG
This 417-nucleotide ribosomal RNA is filed under the name uncultured bacterium. RNAcentral's name for it is "bacterial SSU rRNA". It matches the Rfam family "Bacterial small subunit ribosomal RNA", at positions 28 to 444 of the family's 1533-position model. The record is from RNAcentral.